Molecule: long non-coding RNA, 3521 nt
Filed under: Nicotiana tabacum (common tobacco)
Lineage: Eukaryota; Viridiplantae; Streptophyta; Magnoliopsida; Solanales; Solanaceae
Description: long non-coding RNA (NTAB_LNC016324)
Source: RNAcentral
UGCUACAUAAUUUGAAGUACAAUAUUAUCCAGAAUUUGGUAUCACAAGUUACGACCUAUCUAAGAAUACUACAAAUAAGGUCUGAAUGGAAAUACAAAAGUCUGUCUCUGAAUAAGUAAAAAUAGAAAGAGAAAAGAUAGGAGGAGACGCCAAGGCCUGUGGAUGUCUGCAGGACUACCUCGGGUCGCCUGAAUGGACUGAAGACAGCACCCUCAUUGUAGUCCAAAUGCUCCGGUAUCAGUAACUGCACACAGUGCAUAGUGUAGUAUCAGCACAACCGACCUCAUGUGCUGGUAAGUGCCUAUCCUAACCUCGGCGAAAUAGUGACGAGGCUAGGACUAGAUUACCAAAUAAACCUGUGCAGUUAAAUCAUAUACAGCGGAAAUAGAAGCAGAUAAUUAUAACUAAAGUUGGGCGGGGGAAACAUGUUGCGGGGAGUAACAGGUAACAACAGAAUAAUAGUAGAGAAAUGUAAGGAACUCCAUAAAUCAAAUACUAGCAAAAGAUAAGAAAAUAAGAAAUAAGUACACAUGUAAUACAGUUGCAAGCGUGCAACCCGAACCCAAAUCAUAUAGUACCGUUGCAGGCGUGCAACCCGCUCCCAUUUUAUAUUGUACCGUUGCAAGCGUGCAACUCGCUCCCAUUUUAUGUAUUACCGUUGUAGGCGUGCAACCCGCACCCAUUUCAUAUGUUACCGUUGCAGGCGUGUAACCCGCUCCCAUUUCAUAUAUUGCCAUUGCAGGCGUGCAACCCGCUCCCUUUUCAAUUAUCAAUACCAAUCAUAAAAGAAUCCCGACAAGGGAACAAUAAUAUAAAAACAACAUCCCGGCAAGGGAACAAUACUAUAAAAACAUCCCGCCAAGGAAACAAUAAUAUGACAACAACAUCCCGGCAAGGGAACAAUAAUAUGACAACAACAUCCCGGAAAGGGAACAAUAAUGAUAAUCCUCAUAUGAAGCACAAUAAACCACAACGGAGCCGCAACAAUUACAAUACAAGACUCACGGACAUUCUUGACACCGACGUAUAGAUACACGCCACUAUGCCUAUACGUCGUACUCCACAAUUAGCACAUAGCAAAUAAGACAUAACUCCUAAUCUCUCAAGCUAAGGUUAGACCAAACACUUAUCUCAAACUUCCACGGCCAACUCAAGCCUCAAACACUAUUUUUCCUUUAGAAUUCGCCUUCAAAUUACGUGUAUCUAGUCCAAAUUAAUUGAGCAACAUCAAUAGAUGCUAAAGAAUUCUUACCCAAUGCUUAAUUAUAGGUUUUCUAAAGUUUUUUUCCAAAAUGUCAAAAAUCGACCCCGGACCCACAUGGUCAAAACCCGAGGUACGAACCAAAACCCGAUUAUCCAAUCCCCCCAUGAAUCCAAAUAUAUAAUUUGUUUUGAAAUCGGACCUCAAACCGAAGUCCAAAUCCCCAAAAUUUGAAAAAACUAGGUUCUACCCAAAUCAUCUAAUUUCUCCCAUGAAAACCUUUGAUUUUAAGUUGAAAUCAUGAGAAAAGAUGUUAAAGAUUAAUAAAAACAAGUUAUAAAUGGCUUACAAUCGAUUUGGAAGAGUACUUGUCUUUGAAAAAUCACCCAAGAGUGUUUUGGUUUGAAAAAUGAGAGAUUUUCGGCUAAGUUAUAAUUUGCACAGGUGCAAAUAUCGCAUUUGCGAAGUUAGGUUCGCAAAUGCGAACUCGCAAAUGCGGCCCAGGCUUCGAAAAUGCGAAAGUAGGCCAAUCCUGUUGUCUUCACAAUUACGAACAAUUGUUCGCAUUUGCGGUCCCUGUUGAAGUCGCAUUUGCGAUAUAAGCCUCGCAAAUGCGAGGGUUCCUGCCCCAGCCCAUCAUCGAAAUUGCGAUGGGUCUCUCGCAAAUGCGAGCUUGCAAAUCCUACGGACCUGCAACACACAACAGUUGAAAAUCUGAAACUUCCUAAGUUCAAAACACUCCGCGGCCUAUCCAAAACUCACCCGAGCCCUCGGGACUCCAAACCAAACAAGUACACUAAUCUAAAAACAUCAUACGGACUUACUCGUACAAUCAAAUCACCAAAAUAACAUCAACAACUACGAAUUAAACCCCAAAUUCAUGAAAUCAUCUGAGAAUACCCAAAAUUCCAAUUUUCUCAACUUUAAGUCCGUUUUAUACCAAAUCAAUCCCGAUCUUUAUCAAAUUUUAUAGAUUCAACCAAAUUAUUAUUUCAAUCUUGUACCGGGCUCCGGAACCAAAAUACGGGCCUGAUACCAUCAAAUUCCAGUAUAUUUCAUUUCCAAAAACUCAUAUAUAUUCCAGAAAAUAAUUUUUCUUUAAAAAUUUAUUUCUCGGGCUAGGGACCUCGGAAUCCGAUUCCGGGCAUAUGCCCAAGUCCUAUAUUUUCCUAUCAGGUUCGUUUACCCAAAAUGUUGACCGAGUCAACUUAAAUUUAUUUUAAUGGAAAAAUUUAUCAUUUUUCACGGACUUUCACAUAAUGGCUUCCGGAUACGCGUCCGGACUGCGCACACAAAUCGAGGUGAGAUAGAAAGAGGUUUUUAAGGCCCCGAAACACAGAAUUUAUUUCUAAAACAAGUGAUGACCUUUUGUAUCAUCACAGUAACAUCUCAAGUAACGGUAAAACAUAUCUAGUAACGGUAAAAACGUUUAGAUUAACUGGUAAACAUCUCAAGUAAACUGUUCGGUACCAUAUCAAGUAAAGGACUUGUCCUACAUGUAAUUUCAAAGCAUCGGUAACAUAUUUAUUUUCAAAAUCAUAUAUAAACCAUGCAGGUUAUGAAAACACAAAUUGUGGUAAGAUUACUACUCACAGUACUCGUGCCGAAAUAUCAAACAUGUUACUUGUGAGCACUUCGUGUGACUUUCUUAGUGACCUAUACGGUUAUAAAAUCAAUCUAAGAAUUAGCUUCUUGAACUACCAAUAUUAUUGAUUCCAAAUAUUGUCAAUUUUAAUCCAUUUUUCUGUUUUCACUCCUCCGGAUAUGACCAUCUAUUCUCUGUUAAUUAAUUGAAUAGUACUUAACUGGAAAGGAAACUGAUUCUUGCUUUUGUGUAUGUCAAUAUAUUUAGAUUGCUAAUACAGGUACUUUGAAUUGCUUGGGAACUCAAUACCUUUGCUAUAUUUUGUCUACUGCUUUGCAGUACUUAGAGCCUCUCCACUAAAGUAACAGAACCAAUAUAUUCAAUACUUAUCAAUUUAGAAUAUUAAAAAUCUAAUCUCAUUCGUAGAUAUUCUCGUAUACAAUUCAAUCAAAACUCACCCUUACAAAGUUACCAAUAUCACCAUUUAGCCACGAAUUUAGAUAUUCCCAUGUUAGAGGAACAAAAAUACCUUGAAACUCGAAUUAACAUUGGUUGAAAGUGGCUCUUUUGCGGCACCAAAUCGCUAGCAACUACAAAAACCUUCUUGAUUUCCUCUUUAUAAUUGUGAACUUGCUGCCAACAACUUUGUUGUUCCUUAGUUUCUAUCCUUUUUGUUUCGUUGGAAAAAUAGUUUUAUUUUCAUUAUCUCAGUACUGUGCCGAAGCUAAGCUUCCU